This 253-nucleotide ribosomal RNA is filed under the name uncultured bacterium. RNAcentral's name for it is "partial 16S ribosomal RNA". It matches the Rfam family "Bacterial small subunit ribosomal RNA", at positions 524 to 776 of the family's 1533-position model. The record is from RNAcentral.
UACAGAGGGUGCGAGCGUUAAUCGGAAUUACUGGGCGUAAAGCGUGCGUAGACGGUUAUCUAAGUCGGAUGUGAAAGCCCCGGGCUCAACCUGGGAAUUGCAUUCGAGACUGAAUAGCUAGGGUACGGUAGAGGGAAGUGGAAUUUCCGGUGUAGCGGUGAAAUGCGUAGAUAUCGGAAGGAACAUCAGUGGCGAAAGCGACUUCCUGGACCAGUACCGACGUUCAGGCACGAAAGCUAGGGGAGCAAACAGG